AUUGUUACAAGGCAAAUAGCAGGCACUCGUCUAAUGCUGUUUAUGUAAAAUGUACAUAGCAUACUUAUAAAUAUUUUUAAUACAUAUAUAAAUUGAUGGUCACUACAGAGCUUUAAAUUGAUUUCGACCUCAAUUCAGACUUGUGCCGUCGCCGUCUCAUUUCACUUGAGCAAAGCGACGUUUAAUUUUCACUUUGCACUUGCUGCUGCGAUACUACCGUUGCCAUCGCCGUUUACUGCGGCGCUGUCGUCAUUUCUUCUGCCCUUACAUCUGCUUUCCCCCUCACAACAAAAAAACAUUCGCAUAUAUUUGGGAAUGUUUGAGCUUUUUCGUGCAUUAACGGAGAUUUGUGGCUUACCGCGAGAAAAUAUGACCAGAUAACGACUAACGUCUGGAAAAAGCAUUGCGUAUAAGAGAGGUCAAAUAACGAAAAAUAAUGUCUAAAUACAGUUCAAUGUAUUUUAAACGAAAACAUUUUUGUUAUGUUAUACAUAUAUGUAUAAAAUGCUUGAUAAAUGCAAUGGCGCAUCAUGAUAUAUCUCACAAACAAGAUGCGACUCGGGUAGGUAACAAAGAUUUCAAAGCGGAAAAUCCAACAAAUGAAGCUAAACGCAUCACAUAUAUAUGUAUGUAUCCAUAUAGGAACAUGUGGCCCGUGUACACAAUAAAUUACAAUAGGGGAAAAAGAUGAAAAUGUUAUACGUGAGUAGGUAAAUGUGCAUCUACCUAGUGUAUGUAUACUAGAAAUGGAAGAUGUGGCGGGGCGCGCGACGAGACAAAAUAACACAUCGACGUCGUCGCCAUCUUGGUUGCGACGUCGUUCGUGUGAUUCAUUGGCAUUGUUUUGCGAGGCUAACGUACUGCGACAGCGACGUUGGCAGCGCUGUUUCAGAAGCCCGAAUUUUCUUUGUACAAGUCAAGAUGAAAAAUCCAUAAUCCCAAAAAAUCACCAGUAUAAUUCACUGUAGCAUAAAUGUUUGCUAAUAAUCGAUUUUAUGCAGUUAAUAACACGAUUUACAGUUCGCUAAUAUGCAUAGAAUAUUUCUGUAUGUAUGCAAUGCUCGUAGAAACGAAUGGAAAAAACUCAUGUCCAUUAGUCUAGUUAACUUCCAAUUUUAAUUUUCGCAUUUAACUUUCUUUUUCUUUCGCCUUACCCACUUACUUUUCACACACAAAUAUAAGCAGUAUUUUAAUCAAUAAAUGUAUAUAUAAUUUUGAUAAUAUAAAUGCACUUACCGUUUCUAAUAAAAAUUUAUUUUUCUGCAAACCGAUGCACAAAAAUUGAAACUCACUAGCCAAGGCAAAGGCAAAAACGAAGAAAUUAACUUUUGUCACCGAACCUAAUGGCGAAGCAAACGAAACGAACGAGUAUACCAGAGUGUCUGCAAGCAUGCACAAUUGCUACUAUUUUCCAAUUCGACAAGUUGCAACGAAUGUUAUGAUUUGACAAGAAAUAUAUAUUUGAAUGAGCGACAGACAGAACAAAACGAUAAAUCGGUAUAACUGCAAGAUUUUGAAAACGAAACAAUUUUAUUGCUGAGACAAUUGACAAUUGAAGUUAUCUAAAAAAAAAAUUGAAGAGUGAAAACACAAAGUAAUAUUUAAAUAUGAUUUAUAUAAAGCAGGAGUAGUGAAACGUAAUUAAACUGUAGUUUAAAAAGAUAAUUAUAAUUAAAUUUUAUGAUUUUCUAUAUAAAAAUUGAGAGCUGCGUAAAAGAUUUUAAAAUCAAAAAAUGGUAAUUAUAAAGUGUUUCAUUUCAUUGGAUGAUGACAGUAAAGAGGCAUCACUGGCGUAUUCGCUAAAAUCGUUUCAGCGAUAUGGUGAAAGUGGAAGCGUUUCGAAAUGCGUUACAGGGUGACAAGGGAGGCAAGAAGUAAUUAUCAUUCAAAGAAAAUUAAAUUAUUUGAAUGAAAAAUUAAUUAAAUAUUUAUAAAACUAUAACUAUAUAACUUGAAAUGGUAGAUUUAGAAAAUUUUGAUUUGUAGAAGAAACUUCUUCACUUCCUAGAAAAACGUUUUACAAAUUCUUUUAAGUGUAACAUGUAUCGAGAAAUGACAAAUGCUGUUAUCGAUAAAUACAUCGGAUGUGUUUUGCUUUUGUGCGUUAUAAUUUGAUGGAAGGAAUAUUAUAAAAUACAAAACCUAAAUCGUGUAUAUGAAGAAUUGUAAAUUAAACACUAAAUUUCAUAAAAUAAAAUUUCAAAGAAAGUGAAAUGAUGUUAGCAAGUGAUUCGCGAUAACAUAGACAAUUUCUAAAGCUUGCAAACUGAGACAACUGCCAAGUUUAACGCUUCCGGAGUCGUUGCGACGGCUUAGGCAAAGCAAAAAUCGAAGGGGCCCAAAUCAGCGAGUGCUUCAAGUGAAUUGUGAUACGAUCAAACGUUUUGAAAAAGCAUUCAGCAUUCAGUUAUUCGACCAAUAAAUUCAAAUAUCCAUAUCAACAGAUACAAUUGAUUCUUCUCGGCUCGGUACGAUUGCAUGUAGAAAACAGUUUGGAGCAUAGACACCAUAGCUGAUAUAAUGUCGUGAUCUAAAAUUAAUGUUUGGAAUAUUCACCAAUGCUUUGAAAUUUCGUCUGGAAUCGCUAGAAUUAAGUUGUGGAAACGUUAAAGUCACAGAUGACACUGAGAUAAAUUGGCAGUCAACAGAUCAAUUACUCUCUAACCAAGAUUUUCAAUCGAAGAAUCAGUAAAAUGUCGUCUCUUGAAGCAAAAACUUGUUCAAGAAAGCGUCUCAAACUCUCUUUAAUAUAUGAUCAUUAUCACUAUUCACUCCCAUGCAUUUUAAAAUAUAAAAAACAGCAUUUUUGAAUUGAAAAUUGAUUUAUUUUUUCACUUUACAUUUGAUUUAUUUUCUAAAGAACUUAGACGAAAUUACAAGGAUAAUUAUUAUUUAUCAUUUGCUUAACUAUUUACGAAGUGUCUUAGCGCUUACGGCAAUUGAAUAACUUUAAGUACCUCAUUUAUUAUUAUUUAUAAUAUUAUAUUAUAUUUAUUUAUUUAUUAUUAAAUUUACUUGUUUCUAACAUAAAAUCGUAAGUGUGUUAAGUACAUAUACAUUAAUAUGUUUGCUUAUAUAUUUCUAUGUACACAUUUUAUUUGAUAUUUAUAAGUACCUUAAAACCGCAGUAAUGAAUACAAUUUUACAAAUACUAAACGACUAACUAAGUAUCUUUUCAAACACAGCUGCUACUAAAUUACAUUGCAAUACACACACGCCUACAAACAAAAAUUGAUGCAAAUAUGUGUGUGUACAGUUAAAAAUGA
Long non-coding RNA from Zeugodacus cucurbitae (melon fly), 3266 nucleotides. RefSeq lists it as uncharacterized. NCBI's taxonomy places the organism in Eukaryota, Metazoa, Arthropoda, Insecta, Diptera, Tephritidae. The record is from RefSeq and is a predicted model, not a curated record. The transcript has 3 exons.